RNAcentral lists this ribosomal RNA (253 nucleotides) under uncultured bacterium. Its description in RNAcentral is "partial 16S ribosomal RNA". It matches the Rfam family "Bacterial small subunit ribosomal RNA", at positions 524 to 776 of the family's 1533-position model. The record is from RNAcentral.
GACGUAGGGCGCGAGCGUUGUCCGGAUUUAUUGGGCGUAAAGAGCUCGUAGGCGGCUUGUUGCGUCAGCUGUGAAAACCCGCAGCUCAACUGUGGGCUUGCAGCUGAUACGGGCAGGCUUGAGUUCGGUAGGGGAGACUGGAAUUCCUGGUGUAGCGGUGAAAUGCGUAGAUAUCGAGAGGAACACCUGCGGCGAAGGCGGGUUGCUGGGCCGACACUGACGCUGAUGCGCGAAAUCCAGGGGAGCGAACGGG